RNAcentral lists this ribosomal RNA (611 nucleotides) under uncultured bacterium. RNAcentral's name for it is "bacterial SSU rRNA". It matches the Rfam family "Bacterial small subunit ribosomal RNA", at positions 338 to 950 of the family's 1533-position model. The record is from RNAcentral.
CCUACGGGAGGCAACAGUAAGGAAUAUUGGACAAUGGACGCAAGUCUGAUCCAGCCAUGCCGCGUGAAGGAUUAAGGCCCUCUGGGUUGUAAACUUCUUUUAUAGGGGACGAAAAAAGGGCUUUCUAGCUCGACUGACGGUACCCUAUGAAUAAGCACCGGCUAACUCCGUGCCAGCAGCCGCGGUAAUACGGAGGGUGCAAGCGUUAUCCGGAUUCACUGGGUUUAAAGGGUGCGUAGGCGGGCAUUUAAGUCAGUGGUGAAAUCUUCGAGCUCAACUCGGAAACUGCCAUUGAUACUAUUUGUCUUGAAUAUUGUGGAGGUGAGCGGAAUAUGUCAUGUAGCGGUGAAAUGCUUAGAUAUGACAUAGAACACCGAUUGCGAAGGCAGCUCGCUACACAAAUAUUGACGCUGAGGCACGAAAGCGUGGGGAUCAAACAGGAUUAGAUACCCUGGUAGUCCACGCCCUAAACUAUGGAUACUCGACAUUUGCGAUACACAGUAAGUGUCUGAGCGAAAGCAUUAAGUAUCCCACCUGGGAAGUACGACCGCAAGUUGAAACUCAAAGAUAGUGACGUGAGAGAGCGACGACGACGACGACGGAGGGAGGAG